AUACAGAGGGUGCGAGCGUUAAUCGGAAUUACUGGGCGUAAAGCGCGCGUAGGCGGCUACUUAAGUCAGAUGUGAAAUCCCCGGGCUCAACCUGGGAACUGCAUCUGAUACUGGGUAGCUAGAGUUUAGGAGAGGGAAGUAGAAUUUCAGGUGUAGCGGUGAAAUUCAUAGAGAUCUGAAGGAAUACCAGUGGCGAAGGCGGCUUCCUGGCCUAAAACUGACGCUGAGGUGCGAAAGCGUGGGUAGCAAACGGGAUUAGAUACCCCAGUAGUCC
This 274-nucleotide ribosomal RNA is filed under the name uncultured bacterium. RNAcentral's name for it is "partial 16S ribosomal RNA". It matches the Rfam family "Bacterial small subunit ribosomal RNA", at positions 523 to 796 of the family's 1533-position model. The record is from RNAcentral.